RNAcentral lists this ribosomal RNA (275 nucleotides) under uncultured prokaryote. RNAcentral's name for it is "partial 16S ribosomal RNA". It matches the Rfam family "Bacterial small subunit ribosomal RNA", at positions 524 to 798 of the family's 1533-position model. The record is from RNAcentral.
UACGUAGGUGGCGAGCGUUGUCCGGAUUUACUGGGCGUAAAGGGCGCGUAGGCGGCCACUUAAGUCAGAUGUGAAAAAUUGGGGCUCGACCCUAAUCUUGCAUCUGAAACUGGGUGGCUUGAGUAUGGAAGAGGCAAGUGGAAUUCCUAGUGUAGCGGUGAAAUGCGUAGAUAUUAGGAGGAACACCAGUGGCGAAGGCGACUUGCUGGGCCAAAACUGACGCUGAGGCGCGAAAGCGUGGGGAGCAAACAGGAUUAGAUACCCGGGUAGUCCCU